Molecule: ribosomal RNA, 119 nt
Filed under: Triticum aestivum (bread wheat)
Lineage: Eukaryota; Viridiplantae; Streptophyta; Magnoliopsida; Poales; Poaceae
Source: RNAcentral
GGAUGCGAUCAUACCAGCACUAAAGCGCCGGAUCCCAUCAGAACUCUGAAGUUAAGCGUGCAUGGGCGAGAGUAGUACUAGGAUGGGUGACUUCCUGGGAAGUCCUCGUGUUCCAUUCC